Molecule: ribosomal RNA, 421 nt
Filed under: uncultured Phascolarctobacterium sp.
Lineage: Bacteria; Bacillati; Bacillota; Negativicutes; Acidaminococcales; Acidaminococcaceae
Description: bacterial SSU rRNA
Rfam family: Bacterial small subunit ribosomal RNA
Source: RNAcentral
AAGGAAUUUUCGGCAAUGGGCGCAAGCCUGACCGAGCAACGCCGCGUGAGCGAAGACGGCCCUAUGGGUUGUAAAGCUCUGUUGUAAAGGAAGAACACUAUGAAUAGAAUUCAUAGCUGACGGUACUUUACCAGAAAGCCACGGCUAACUACGUGCCAGCAGCCGCGGUAAUACGUAGGUGGCAAGCGUUAUCCGGAAUUAUUGGGCGUAAAGGGUGCGCAGUCGGCUGAUUAAGUUUGUGGUGAAAGUGCGGGGCUCAACCCCGUAUGGCGCUGGAAACUGUUAGGCUUGAGUGCAGGAGAGGAAAGGGGAAUUCCCAGUGUAGCGGUGAAAUGCGUAGAUAUUGGGAGGAACACCAGUGGCGAAGGCGCCUUUCUGGACUGUGUCUGACGCUGAGAUGCGAAAGCCAGGGUAGCGAACG